This 71-nucleotide transfer RNA is filed under the name Camelus bactrianus (Bactrian camel). It matches the Rfam family "tRNA". Rfam says of the family: Transfer RNA (tRNA) molecules are approximately 80 nucleotides in length. Their secondary structure includes four short double-helical elements and three loops (D, anti-codon, and T loops). RNAcentral also lists the same sequence under 2 other names. The record is from Rfam by way of RNAcentral. Lineage: Eukaryota; Metazoa; Chordata; Mammalia; Artiodactyla; Camelidae.
GAAGGUAUAGCUCAGUGGUAGAGUAUGUGUUUAGCAUGCACAGGUCCUGGGUUCAAUCCCCAGUACUGCCA